UGGGGAAUAUUGGACAAUGGGCGAAAGCCUGAUCCAGCCAUGCCGCGUGUGUGAAGAAGUUCUUCGGAUUGUAAAGCACUUUAAGUUGGGAGGAAGGGCAGUAAGCGAAUACCUUGCUGUUUUGACGUUACCGACAGAAUAAGCACCGGCUAACUCUGUGCCAGCAGCCGCGGUAAUACAGAGGGUGCAAGCUUUAAUCGGAAUUACUGGGCGUAAAGCCCGCUGAGGUGGUUCGUUAAGUUGAAUGUGAAAGCCCCGGGCUUAACCUGGGAACGGCAUCCCAAACUGGCGAGCUAGAGUAGGGCAGAGGGUGGUGGAAUUUCCUGUGUAGCGGUGAAAUGCGUAGAUAUAGGAAGGAACAACAGUGGCGAAGGCGACCACCUGGGCUCAUACUGACACUGAGGUGCGAAAGCGUGGGGAGCAAACAGG
RNAcentral lists this ribosomal RNA (429 nucleotides) under Pseudomonadota bacterium. Its description in RNAcentral is "Proteobacteria bacterium partial 16S ribosomal RNA". It matches the Rfam family "Bacterial small subunit ribosomal RNA", at positions 355 to 776 of the family's 1533-position model. The record is from RNAcentral. Lineage: Bacteria; Pseudomonadati; Pseudomonadota.